AGCUGCUCUCCAGUCCUGGGGUGCAGCACCCCUGGCUGCUGCCAAGGCCAUGAACAAACUGCUCUCAGGAGGUCAAGUGGAACGUCGUCACUUUGCUACAGAUUUAUUUCCGUGUGAAUUAAUGAAACGGUACACACAAUUCCAAAAAAAAAAAAAUAAUCUUUUAUAGGCCCAUAAUCCUUCUUUCACAGUACAAUGCAACAGUAGAGGAUUUAGUCAGUGUAAACAGAAGGUCCAAUAGUGAUCAUCAGCUAUCACAGAUCAGCUGCACAAACACCAUAGCUACGGGGUUAAUGCCAUUACCACACAAAUUGACAGUACCAGUACAAAUCAUAACUUUACCUACAAUGCUUUUUCAUGUGCAAAAACCAUGAAAAUUCAAUUUACAGAAGAAGGGCACCUUCUCUAAACCUUCGUGGGUCUGUAAAGUGCCUCCUCAGGGCUGUCUUAUCCAUUUGGCAAAGGUCUCAGCCCAGAUUCUCCAAGGUACUCAACUCCAUCUGCAGCACAAAGCAUCAGGGCUCUGCCUCUGCACACCAGGCAUUCCUGGGUGCUCUGCUGCAGCCCAGCACAGAAAAUUAUCAGCUGAGGAUGAAUCCCAUUCAUUUAUUCACUCCUGAAUUUAAGCCGAGAUUCAUUCAUUGACUAAAGCUAUUCAAAACAGUCCUGGUUAUAUUAUAUCUGGAUCAUAAUGUCAGAUAUAUGGAUCAUCAUUGGUGUCUUGGGGUGACUUUAUGAUGCUUGUAUCCCAAACUGUCUGUUCUAUUAACGUUGAAUAUUGAGUUCUGCAGCUUUAAGACUGGUUCCAAGAGUGAAGGGGAGAAAAGAGGUGCAGAGUUUGUUAUCAGAGACUGCACUUGCUCCUCCUCAUCCUUCACACAGACUGUUGUCUGCAGUGGAAGCAGGAGACAGCUCUCCUCUGCUCUUGGUUAGUUUCUGGCUAGCUGAGGCAGAGAAACUCCCUGGACUGUGGUUUUUUUUUCCCUUUUUCUUGGAACUGUUUGAACCUGCUCUGGACUGAAAAACCCAGAGGAGCACCAGGAGCUCACACCUGUGGCCCACCCGGGCUGUGACAUUUCCCAGCACUGGAGGGACUGAGAACAGCCUGAAGCAGGAGACAGCUCUCCUCUGCUCUUGGUUAGUUUCUGGCUAGCUGAGGCAGAGAAGCUG
This 1170-nucleotide long non-coding RNA is filed under the name Ficedula albicollis (Collared flycatcher). Its description in RNAcentral is "lncRNA (ENSFALG00000026159.1)". Lineage: Eukaryota; Metazoa; Chordata; Aves; Passeriformes; Muscicapidae. The record is from RNAcentral.